RNAcentral lists this ribosomal RNA (1372 nucleotides) under uncultured bacterium. RNAcentral's name for it is "bacterial SSU rRNA". It matches the Rfam family "Bacterial small subunit ribosomal RNA", at positions 28 to 1381 of the family's 1533-position model. The record is from RNAcentral.
GAUGAACGCUGGCGGCGUGCCUAAUACAUGCAAGUCGAGCGAACGGACGAGAAGCUUGCUUCUCUGAUGUUAGCGGCGGACGGGUGAGUAACACGUGGAUAACCUACCUAUAAGACUGGGAUAACUUCGGGAAACCGGAGCUAAUACCGGAUAAUAUUUUGAACCGCAUGGUUCAAAAGUGAAAGACGGUCUUGCUGUCACUUAUAGAUGGAUCCGCGCUGCAUUAGCUAGUUGGUAAGGUAACGGCUUACCAAGGCAACGAUGCAUAGCCGACCUGAGAGGGUGAUCGGCCACACUGGAACUGAGACACGGUCCAGACUCCUACGGGAGGCAGCAGUAGGGAAUCUUCCGCAAUGGGCGAAAGCCUGACGGAGCGACGCCGCGUGAGUGAUGAAGGUCUUCGGAUCGUAAAACUCUGUUAUUAGGGAAGAACAUAUGUGUAAGUAACUGUGCACAUCUUGACGGUACCUAAUCAGAAAGCCACGGCUAACUACGUGCCAGCAGCCGCGGUAAUACGUAGGUGGCAAGCGUUAUCCGGAAUUAUUGGGCGUAAAGCGCGCGUAGGCGGUUUUUUAAGUCUGAUGUGAAAGCCCACGGCUCAACCGUGGAGGGUCAUUGGAAACUGGAAAACUUGAGUGCAGAAGAGGAAAGUGGAAUUCCAUGUGUAGCGGUGAAAUGCGCAGAGAUAUGGAGGAACACCAGUGGCGAAGGCGACUUUCUGGUCUGUAACUGACGCUGAUGUGCGAAAGCGUGGGGAUCAAACAGGAUUAGAUACCCUGGUAGUCCACGCCGUAAACGAUGAGUGCUAAGUGUUAGGGGGUUUCCGCCCCUUAGUGCUGCAGCUAACGCAUUAAGCACUCCGCCUGGGGAGUACGACCGCAAGGUUGAAACUCAAAGGAAUUGACGGGGACCCGCACAAGCGGUGGAGCAUGUGGUUUAAUUCGAAGCAACGCGAAGAACCUUACCAAAUCUUGACAUCCUUUGACAACUCUAGAGAUAGAGCUUUCCCCUUCGGGGGACAAAGUGACAGGUGGUGCAUGGUUGUCGUCAGCUCGUGUCGUGAGAUGUUGGGUUAAGUCCCGCAACGAGCGCAACCCUUAAGCUUAGUUGCCAUCAUUAAGUUGGGCACUCUAAGUUGACUGCCGGUGACAAACCGGAGGAAGGUGGGGAUGACGUCAAAUCAUCAUGCCCCUUAUGAUUUGGGCUACACACGUGCUACAAUGGACAAUACAAAGGGCAGCGAAACCGCGAGGUCAAGCAAAUCCCAUAAAGUUGUUCUCAGUUCGGAUUGUAGUCUGCAACUCGACUACAUGAAGCUGGAAUCGCUAGUAAUCGUAGAUCAGCAUGCUACGGUGAAUACGUUCCCGGGUCU